RNAcentral lists this ribosomal RNA (283 nucleotides) under uncultured bacterium. RNAcentral describes it as "partial 16S ribosomal RNA". It matches the Rfam family "Bacterial small subunit ribosomal RNA", at positions 28 to 311 of the family's 1533-position model. The record is from RNAcentral.
GAUGAACGCUGGCGGCGUGCCUAACACAUGCAAGUCGAACGUGAAGCUUGGUACUGUAUCAGGCUGAAAGUGGCGAACGGGUGAGUAACACGUUGGUGACCUGCCCCGAGGAGCGGGAUAACUCCUUGAAAGAGGAGCUAAUACCGCAGAUGACUGGGACUGUUAGAGGGUCCAGCCUAAAGCUUUGGACGUCUCGGGAGGGGCCUGCGGGCUAUCAGCUAGUUGGGGGGUAAGGCCUACCAAGGCGAAGACGGCUAGGGGGCGUGAGAGCGUGGACCCCNCC